GGGGCACAAGGCUCAUUGAAUACAGUGAACACAUCCUAGGGGAGGUAAAUGGAGAAAGACGCAGCUGCAGACACAAGCACAAGACACACACAAAGAAGUCAUAGGGAAGAGCAUGGAAUACACCAACUAGGAACCAGGCACUGUCCAAGCUCUGGAAAAGGCUCUCAAAAAAGGAGCUGACGUCUCUGCAUUCUGGAGGAGCCAGGCCUGUGGCAAACCGUCAACUAAUAAACAGCUGACAUGGAACUUAGCAUCCCCUUACUCCCACUCCAGGAACUGAGGAGAGAGCCCCUGGCUCUCUGCUCCCUGCCCUGCUCCUGUCUCUCAUCAUGCAGUCAAGGUUGUGAGCGUUCUGUUCCUCUCCAUCACCAGGCUUCUCCACAGGCUCCUGCUCCUGGCUUAAGUGUCAACCUGACAUCUGCACAGAAACUUCAUCACCAGCCUACAAAGGUGGUCCCCAGUGACCCAUGACAGCUGAUGUCAUGUCCUGUGCUGCUCCACCCUCAUUGAAUCUGGCUGGACCUGGGACUGGCUUUGACCAGCAAUGUGGGAGUGAAGCUGGCGCUGCUGCCUUGGCCCUGUGGGAGGCCUGAGCUGACAGGUGAGAAGUCUAACUGCCCUCCUGGAGAGGCCAUGUGGAGAGGCUCUGAGACUCCAUGGACAGAGAAAGGCCUAAUUCCCCCAUCCCAGCCAUGCUCAGCCUCCAGCUGUCCCCACAAAUGUACCAGAUAUGGUCUAAAGCCAUGCCAGGUGUCCCAUCCACUGUUACCAGCAACUCCCCAUCAGGACCUGUCACAGAGAGCCCAUUAGGACCAGCUGAGGAACCGCCCAGCUCUGCCUAGCCAAUCCAGAGUUUUUGCUGUUUUAAGCCACUACAUUUUGGGUGUUUUUUUUCUUUAAUGCAUCAA
This 908-nucleotide long non-coding RNA is filed under the name Homo sapiens (human). RNAcentral describes it as "HSALNT0151809". Lineage: Eukaryota; Metazoa; Chordata; Mammalia; Primates; Hominidae. The record is from RNAcentral.